This 253-nucleotide ribosomal RNA is filed under the name uncultured bacterium. Its description in RNAcentral is "partial 16S ribosomal RNA". It matches the Rfam family "Bacterial small subunit ribosomal RNA", at positions 524 to 776 of the family's 1533-position model. The record is from RNAcentral.
UACGUAGGGGGCAAGCGUUGUCCGGAAUUAUUGGGCGUAAAGAGCUCGUAGGCGGUCCGUCACGUCGGAUGUGAAAUUCCAGGGCUCAACCCUGGACCUGCAUUCGAUACGGGCGGACUAGAGUUCGGUAGGGGAGACUGGAAUUCCUGGUGUAGCGGUGAAAUGCGCAGAUAUCAGGAGGAACACCGGUGGCGAAGGCGGGUCUCUGGGCCGAUACUGACGCUGAGGAGCGAAAGCGUGGGGAGCAAACAGG